AUACGUAGGGUCCGAGCGUUGUCCGGAAUUAUUGGGCGUAAAGAGCUCGUAGGCGGCGUGUCGCGUCUGCUGUGAAAGACCGGGGCUUAACUCCGGUUCUGCAGUGGAUACGGGCAUGCUAGAGGUAGGGAGGGGAGACUGGAAUUCCUGGUGUCGCGGUGAAAUGCGCAGAUAUCAGGAGGAACACCGGUGGCGAAGGCGGGUCUCUGGGCCUUACCUGACGCUGAGGAGCGAAAGCAUGGGGAGCGAACAGGAUUAGAUACCCUGGUAGUCCAUGCCGUAAACGUUGGGCGCUAGGUGUGGGGACUUUCCACGGUUUCCGCGCCGUAGCUAACGCAUUAAGCGCCCCGCCUGGGGAGUACGGCCGCAAGGCUAAAACUCAAAGGAAUUGACGGGG
RNAcentral lists this ribosomal RNA (397 nucleotides) under uncultured bacterium. RNAcentral's name for it is "partial 16S ribosomal RNA". It matches the Rfam family "Bacterial small subunit ribosomal RNA", at positions 523 to 918 of the family's 1533-position model. The record is from RNAcentral.